This 76-nucleotide transfer RNA is filed under the name Camelus dromedarius (Arabian camel). It matches the Rfam family "tRNA". Rfam says of the family: Transfer RNA (tRNA) molecules are approximately 80 nucleotides in length. Their secondary structure includes four short double-helical elements and three loops (D, anti-codon, and T loops). RNAcentral also lists the same sequence under 1 other name. Lineage: Eukaryota; Metazoa; Chordata; Mammalia; Artiodactyla; Camelidae. The record is from Rfam by way of RNAcentral.
GCGGGCAUAGCUCACCAGUAGAGCACAUGCUUAGUUAGCAUGCAAGAAGUUCUGGGUUCAACUCCCAGUACCUCCA